RNAcentral lists this ribosomal RNA (516 nucleotides) under uncultured Bacteroidota bacterium. RNAcentral's name for it is "bacterial SSU rRNA". It matches the Rfam family "Bacterial small subunit ribosomal RNA", at positions 1 to 518 of the family's 1533-position model. The record is from RNAcentral. Lineage: Bacteria; Pseudomonadati; Bacteroidota.
UAGAGUUUGAUCAUGGCUCAGGAUGAACGCUAGCGGAAGGCUUAACACAUGCAAGUCGUACGGUAACUCUGGUAGCAAUACCGGAAACGAGUGGCGCACGGGUGAGUAACACGUAUGUAACCUGCCUCUAACUGGGGAAUAGCCCUGAGAAAUCGGGAGUAAUGCCCCAUAAUAUCCCAGUAAGGCAUCUUAAUGGGAUUAAAGUUUCGACGGUUAGAGAUGGACAUGCGCGAUAUUAGCUUGUUGGUGAGGUAACGGCUCACCAAGGCUACGAUGUCUAGGGGGUCUGAGAGGACGUCCCCCCACACUGGUACUGAGACACGGACCAGACUCCUACGGGAGGCAGCAGUGGGGAAUAUUGGUCAAUGGGCGCAAGCUUGAACCAGCCAUUCCGCGUGGAGGAGGAAAGUCCUACGGAUUGUAAACUCCUUUUCUACAGGAAGAAUUUUCCAAUUUAGUAUUGGGAUUGACGGUACUGUGGGAAUAAGCAUCGGCUAACUCCGUGCCAGCCGCCGC